ACGCUAGCUACAGGCUUAACACAUGCAAGUCGAGGGGAAACGGCAUUGAGUGCUUGCACUCUUUGGACGUCGACCGGCGCACGGGUGAGUAACGCGUAUCCAACCUUCCCAUUAUUGUGGGAUAACCUGCCGAAAGGCAGACUAAUACCGCAUAGUCUUCGAUGACGGCAUCAGAUUUGAAGUAAAGAUUUAUCGGUAAUGGAUGGGGAUGCGUCUGAUUAGCUUGUUGGCGGGGUAACGGCCCACCAAGGCGACGAUCAGUAGGGGUUCUGAGAGGAAGGUCCCCCACAUUGGAACUGAGACACGGUCCAAACUCCUACGGGAGGCAGCAGUGAGGAAUAUUGGUCAAUGGACGGAAGUCUGAACCAGCCAAGUAGCGUGCAGGAUGACGGCCCUAUGGGUUGUAAACUGCUUUUGUAUGGGGAUAAAGUUAGGGACGUGUCCCUAUUUGCAGGUACCAUACGAAUAAGGACCGGCUAAUUCCGUGCCAGCAGCCGCGGUAAUACGGAAGGUCCAGGCGUUAUCCGGAUUUAUUGGGUUUAAAGGGAGCGUAGGCUGGAGAUUAAGUGUGUUGUGAAAUGUAGACGCUCAACGUCUGAAUUGCAGCGCAUACUGGUUUCCUUGAGUACGCACAACGUUGGCGGAAUUCGUCGUGUAGCGGUGAAAUGCUUAGAUAUGACGAAGAACUCCGAUUGCGAAGGCAGCUGACGGGAGCGCAACUGACGCUUAAGCUCGAAGGUGCGGGUAUCAAACAGGAUUAGAUACCCUGGUAGUCCGCACAGUAAACGAUGGAUGCCCGCUGUUGGUACCUGGUAUCAGCGGCUAAGCGAAAGCAUUAAGCAUCCCACCUGGGGAGUACGCCGGCAACGGUGAAACUCAAAGGAAUUGACGGGGGCCCGCACAAGCGG
This 908-nucleotide ribosomal RNA is filed under the name uncultured bacterium. RNAcentral describes it as "bacterial SSU rRNA". It matches the Rfam family "Bacterial small subunit ribosomal RNA", at positions 33 to 932 of the family's 1533-position model. The record is from RNAcentral.